UCGCUUCGCCUUCAACUCUACCCUCCUUCUCUCUCCCGAUAUCCUCAUCUCUCUCUCUCCACCGCUGCCUUUCUUCCCGUAGGAAUCCCCUCUUCCUUUCGAGGUCAAAGGUCGCAUAUUUAUGAGCUGGAUCUGUGGGUAACGACGAUGGUGGCGUCGGCGAGUCCGGUCGGGGUACCAUUGAGCCUCUUCAUCGACCUGUCCGGGCUGGAGGCCGCCACCACCGGAUUUUCUGACAGCAAUCUGCUCCACCGCGACGGCUUCCCCAUCUUUGAGGCAAGCAAGCACCUCACAACCUCCUUUUCUCUGUGCGCUUCACUUCACCUAAAUUCACAGGGUGUGCUGGAGAGCGGGCACGAGAUUCCGGUGAAGAGUUUGUCCCUGGAAUCGCGGCAGGGGGUGCGCGAGUUCCUCGACGAGGUGCGGCUGCUGCUGAAGGUGCAUCAACGGAACCUGGUCUCCCUCGUCGGCUGCUGCACCUCCUCUGCCGCCCGGGCCAACGGCUCGACCACUUCCUCUUUGUGGCGGCACCGACAAGCUCAAGGACUUUGAGGCCCAGGGGCGCGCCGUCACCCGAUUCUGGCACCACAACGUCCUCCGCCUCCGGAGAAAAAAGAGGCUGGAGAUGAUGUUUCAUCACCUUCAGCUGGUAGUGCUGUUGUAGAAGAAGCAAAUGGAAUUGCAGGGGCUAGAUCCCAUGCAAACAAUGUGGACAAUUGGACAUGAACUCAACAGUAAGUGCAGGAGCCAGAAUUGGAUGUGGAGGGCCAUUUUCUUCUUCCAGAGGAGCACAGUUAAGGUCUGGCAGGACCAUUUCUGACAAAUUAAUGUUGGGGCACCGGAGAACUGUUGGGGCCGAGGACAAGCUGCUACUGAUGGGCCAGAGGAGAAGCUGCUCCUGCUGAUGGGCAGGAGAGAAGUUGCUGCUGAUGGGCAGUGGAGAAAUUGCUGCUGGUGUGGCGAGGAGAAGCCGGUGAGUCUGGAGUACCAUAUUAAUGCGGUGGGUCACCAGUGUUGCAGGACCGGAGUAGAAACGGAGAAUCACAGCAAGGCUACCGCCACCGCCACCGGCGCCACCGCC
This is an RNA transcript of Lolium rigidum, 1081 nucleotides long. It is a transcript of the gene named proline-rich receptor-like protein kinase PERK3, with no coding region annotated. The record is from RefSeq and is a predicted model, not a curated record. The transcript has 5 exons. Lineage: Eukaryota; Viridiplantae; Streptophyta; Magnoliopsida; Poales; Poaceae.